Molecule: ribosomal RNA, 239 nt
Filed under: uncultured bacterium
Lineage: Bacteria
Description: partial 16S ribosomal RNA
Rfam family: Bacterial small subunit ribosomal RNA
Source: RNAcentral
GACGAACGCUGGCGGCGUGCUUAACACAUGCAAGUCAGGGGUGGGCGACCCAUCACCGGCGGACGGGUGCGUAACACGUGAGCGACCUGCCUUCGAGUGGGGGAUAGCCGGCCCAACGGCCGGGUAAUACCGCAUACGACACUGCCGGGGCAUCCCGGGGGUGUGAAACCACUUGGGCUCGGAGAGGGGCUCGCGGCCUAUCAGCUAGUUGGCGAGGUAACGGCUCACCAAGGCGAUGA